Molecule: long non-coding RNA, 747 nt
Organism: Drosophila sulfurigaster albostrigata
Lineage: Eukaryota; Metazoa; Arthropoda; Insecta; Diptera; Drosophilidae
Exons: 2
Source: RefSeq, a predicted model, not a curated record
GGAAUGUUGUCCACAUAAAUGGAGAAUUUCGAUCAUAAACGAGGGAAAACAUUUAGGAUAAAUGCGUGCUAAGACUGCUCGAUUACUCAUUACCCUGUAAAGAAUUCAAUUUUAAAUGGGGAAAAUGGGAGUAAAUAAACAAGUAAGUAUAGAAAAUAAUGUUUUAAACAUUUUUCUGCAUUUCAAUGAGAAGCAUUCUUAUAUUUUCAGGAUUAACAUAUUUGAAGAUAAAAGUCUUGUAGUUGCAUCCAAACUAAACCAAUGUGACUUUGAUAUGCACAGGGUAUAUUCUUAAAAGGGAGCAAAAACAACAAUGGAAAGUGCUGGAGUCAACAACAUCGAGACGUUUUGAAUGGAGUUUCAAUAGUUUCCCAUAAGUUUCAACUGCUUUUUAAUAUCACACAUAUGUGCAUACUUUAGCAUAAGUACUUGUAAGACUCCACAAACACACAUACACACACACACAUGCAUGCUUCAAUACCACAUAAGAGUACUUAACAUACAAACACACACAAACACAUAAGUAUCUACCAAUGGAUUGCUUUGCGCUUCCUCAAUGCGACCUUCAACAAUAAAUUUGUGUAUCGAGCAUCCAAUGGAAAAUUUGCAAUAAUGAAUGUGAGAAUAUAUAUUACAGUACUUCUAUGUAUAUGUAAUCCGAUUUAUGUAUUCUAAUAUUUACGUUCAUAUUUUGUAUGUCCUUAAAUAACUAUUGAAAUGCUUCUAAAUAAAAGCUUAAAAACUAUG